RNAcentral lists this ribosomal RNA (253 nucleotides) under uncultured bacterium. RNAcentral's name for it is "partial 16S ribosomal RNA". It matches the Rfam family "Archaeal small subunit ribosomal RNA", at positions 474 to 727 of the family's 1478-position model. The record is from RNAcentral.
UACCAGCACCCCGAGUGGUCGGGACGAUUAUUGGGCCUAAAGCAUCCGUAGCCGGCCUUACAAGUCCUCCGUUAAAUCCAGCUGCUUAACAGAUGGGCUGCGGAGGAUACUAUAAGACUAGGAGGCAGGAGAGGCAAGCGGUACUCAGUGGGUAGGGGUAAAAUCCGUUGAUCCAUUGAAGACCGCCAGUGGCGAAGGCGGCUUGCCAGAAUGCGCUCGACGGUGAGGGAUGAAAGCUGGGGGAGCAAACCGG